RNAcentral lists this long non-coding RNA (178 nucleotides) under Mustela putorius furo (domestic ferret). RNAcentral's name for it is "lncRNA (ENSMPUG00000027119.1)". The record is from RNAcentral. Lineage: Eukaryota; Metazoa; Chordata; Mammalia; Carnivora; Mustelidae.
GGCUGCACUCUCAACCUGCCAUUAAUAAUUCGAUUUGUCCAAUUGCUACAGAUAAGGAGCAUAUUGCUUGGGAAGUUGUAACUGCUUCUCUUUCUCACCUGUACAACAUUCGUGAGUGGGGAAAAGACAACUUCCUGUUCGAAGGCCACACGCUCCCGCGGCAGCUGCCUGCGUCAGC